AACGCACAUUGCGCCCAUUGGUAUUCCGAUGGGCAUGCCUGUUCGAGCGUCAUUAUCCUCCCUCAAACCUCGCGUUUGGUGUUGGGCCGACGUUGUGGAGCUGUCUACAACGGGCCUCAAAGACAAUGACGGCGUCCGUGGGACCCUCCUCGCAACGAGCUUCUCGGAGCACGCGUGGAGUUUCAAGGACCCUCCGGGCCGGUCUUCCUUUCAUACGCCUCCAAGGUUGACCUCGGAUCAGGUAGGAAUACCCGCUGAACUUAA
Molecule: unclassified non-coding RNA, 264 nt
Filed under: uncultured Chaetothyriales
Lineage: Eukaryota; Fungi; Ascomycota; Eurotiomycetes; Chaetothyriales
Description: sequence contains 5.8S rRNA gene, ITS2, 28S rRNA gene
Rfam family: 5.8S ribosomal RNA (bases 1-52)
Source: RNAcentral